AGAGUUUGAUCAUGGCUCAGAAUCAACGCUGGCGGCGUGCCUCAGACAUGCAAGUCGAACGAUUAAACUUUCCUUCGGGGAAGAUAUAAAGUGGCGCACGGGUGAGUAACACGUAGGUAAUCUACCUUUGAGUGGGGAAUAACGUUCGGAAACGAACGCUAAUACCGCAUAAUGCAGCGGCACCGCAAGGUGACAGUUGUUAAAGGAGCAAUCCGCUUAAAGAGGAGCCUGCGGCAGAUUAGCUAGUUGGUAAGGUAAUGGCUUACCAAGGCGACGAUCUGUAACCGACCUGAGAGGGUGGUCGGUCACACUGACACUGAAUAACGGGUCAGACUCCUACGGGAGGCAGCAGUCGGGAAUUUUGGGCAAUGGGCGAAAGCCUGACCCAGCAACGCCGCGUGAAGGAUGAAGUAUUUCGGUAUGUAAACUUCGAAAGAAUGGGAAGAAUAAAUGACGGUACCAUUUAUAAGGUCCGGCUAACUACGUGCCAGCAGCCGCGGUAAUACGUAGGGACCAAGCGUUGUUCGGAUUUACUGGGCGUAAAGGGCGCGUAGGCGGCGUGUUAAGUCAGCUGUGAAAUCUCCGAGCUUAACUCGGAACGGUCAGCUGAUACUGAUGUGCUAGAGUGCAGAAGGGGCAAUCGGAAUUCUUGGUGUAGCGGUGAAAUGCGUAGAUAUCAAGAGGAACACCUGAGGUGAAGACGGGUUGCUGGGCUGACACUGACGCUGAGGCGCGAAAGCUAGGGUAGCAAACGGGAUUAGAUACCCCCGUAGUCC
RNAcentral lists this ribosomal RNA (776 nucleotides) under uncultured Acidobacteriota bacterium. RNAcentral's name for it is "bacterial SSU rRNA". It matches the Rfam family "Bacterial small subunit ribosomal RNA", at positions 8 to 796 of the family's 1533-position model. Lineage: Bacteria; Pseudomonadati; Acidobacteriota. The record is from RNAcentral.